Molecule: long non-coding RNA, 1233 nt
Organism: Gallus gallus (chicken)
Lineage: Eukaryota; Metazoa; Chordata; Aves; Galliformes; Phasianidae
Source: Ensembl
CCAGAGGGGAAGUAGCUCUGGGUGCUCAUAGUUACAGUAGUAACCUUCUUACACCAGAGCUGAAGAGCAGUUCUUUUAGCGGGAUGGAAGAAAAGAAUCCCACGUGCACUUUUUGAUGGAUCUGCCCUUCUCUGCUGCAGCCUUCUGUAAAAGAUGGCAGUGGUACAUGUUCUGGAUGCAGGGCACCUCCAAAAGCUCCUUUUGCCUUCUGAUAAAUGGUGGUUAAAGCUUUUGCUGAACAAUUAUAGCAGUCGCUGCUCCUUGCUGAGGAUUCGGUUUCCCUGGGAGAAGAGAGGCCAUCAGAAAACAAACCCAUGGCAGCUGGUACAGCCUGCCUGCUGGAAACACAAAGCAGGAUUGUGGUGACAGUGCUGCCACCUUGACAGUGAGCAUCCCCUUACGUCGCUCCUGGAAACUGGAGCUCUGCUAACCCUGCUCUGAAUGCAAAACCUUCCCAGCUGGCUAUUUCUAGAUACCUGGGUGGUUGUUGGGAAGUUGUGACAUCAUCAUCAGGGAAAACAAAACUCUAAGUAUGUUUAUUGGGGGAGGUCUGUAUCGCUUGUAAGGUGAAGUGCUCCAUAAACAGGAAAACACUGAGAGAAAUAAACAUUAGCACUUAGCAGCUAAUUCAGAGGCAAGAAAUGGAGAGAGCAGAAUAUUGCAGUUCAUUCCUUUGACUGGCAUUGUAGACUGAUUACCUCUGUUUCGUAAUCUCUUCUCCCAGUAGCAAAUCUAAUCUGCCUACCAGCGUAAGUAUUCACCAGUGCAGUGCUCUCUUUUUGCAGCCGCAGAAGCAGAGCUUCUCUGGCUGAACCCCUCCAGCUGUGCUGCACCCUGCUGAGCUCAGACCCUGCUGCACAGUGCUGCAGUGCCCAUGCAGGGUGAAGGACAUCCCACUCGGUGGUGGCUGGGAAGGAGGGGAGGAGAAGGUGGUAUGAGUUGGGUCACAAGAACUGCAGCUAGGAGGAAAGACAACAUGAAGGAUGAGGAGGGGAAUGUAAAGCUGGGAAGGGACUACAAGUUCUGCUGUCAUGUCAUAAUUAGCAUUACAGAUCUGAUUUAGGGCAGACAUGCCUUACUUGUGUCAUGCAAUCCUGUCUUCUAUUUACUUGUGUAUGAAUGAACCUAGAACAAAAUUAAGUUAUCCCGUGGACAAGGUCUCUGUUUGCAGUUUUCAGUAAAAAUAUGUAUUUGCUUAGAAAUAUGAACAAGUUAGUAAAAAAAGCAAGCCGC